This 253-nucleotide ribosomal RNA is filed under the name uncultured bacterium. RNAcentral's name for it is "partial 16S ribosomal RNA". It matches the Rfam family "Bacterial small subunit ribosomal RNA", at positions 524 to 776 of the family's 1533-position model. The record is from RNAcentral.
UACGUAGGGUGCGAGCGUUAAUCGGAAUCACUGGGCUUAAAGGGCGCGUAGGCGGGUGCUCAAGUCCGUGGUGAAAUCCUCCGGCUCAACCGGAGAACUGCCUCGGAUACUGGGUGCCUCGAGGGUGGUAGGGGUAUGCGGAACUAUCGGUGGAGCGGUGAAAUGCGUUGAUAUCGAUAGGAACUCCGGUGGCGAAGGCGGCAUACUGGACCACCUCUGACGCUGAGGCGCGAAAGCCAGGGGAGCAAACGGG